Molecule: long non-coding RNA, 102 nt
Organism: Melanotaenia boesemani (Boeseman's rainbowfish)
Lineage: Eukaryota; Metazoa; Chordata; Actinopteri; Atheriniformes; Melanotaeniidae
Exons: 3
Source: RefSeq, a predicted model, not a curated record
CAUGAUUUUAUCCACUUGGUUAUAAGCAGUGUUGGGCACGUUACUUUGAAAAAGUAAUUAGUUACAGUUACUAGUUACUUCUCCCAAAAAGUAACUGAGUUA